RNAcentral lists this ribosomal RNA (134 nucleotides) under Candidatus Berkelbacteria bacterium. Lineage: Bacteria; Candidatus Berkelbacteria. The record is from RNAcentral.
GCUGGUGUUUUAAGCGAGGUGGAACCACCUGGUCUCCCGACGCAAGUUGGGACCAUUCCGAACCCAGAAGUUAAACGCCCCAGCGCCGAUGGUACCUCGACGUUACGUCGGGGGAGAGUAGGCCAAUGCCAGCG